ACAUAGCGUACUUUCACCCUUUUUUCCAGAUCGAGAUGGUGGAGGCAGCCAGUGUCGUGGCCGAGCGCUGGGGAGCUUGUCGGUGUUUUGAUGGAGAAGGCUGGGUCCGAAGGUCCCGAAGUCCUAUGGCAUGAACUGGCCACGGCGCAUCCGGCUGGAUGCACUUGCUCAACACCUUUCCAUCUCUGUACAAUCAGGUAGAUAUUUUCUCACGUGCCAAAUAUUAUUUUUAGGUUGCCAAAUAGUAGUCUAGGAACUAUAGAAAGUGGAUUGCUGAGUUUGCCAAGCAUAAUAGCACACCUAUUAUCAGAUGACCUGAAGAGUAUAUCAAGCAAAGAUGCUUUCAGAUUUAUGCAUGCCUAUAUUAGGUUCCUACUUGUGUGAAGAUAACACUUUGCAUCGGGCUUGUGAGCAACCGUAAGUUGUUUUGCAUGUGAUACUACUUGUGUGAUUAUUUUUACCUUCGGAAAAUUUCCUUCUUAUUAUAUAUCAUAUGGAAUUCUUCAACCAGAGGAGAGCAACUCAAUGAGUUUGCAUACAUUCAGCCAUCUAUGUUGAUGCAACUCAACUAACAAAGAGUAUUUAAGAAAAGACUGCAGUUUGUAAAGCCAGUGGACAAAUUAGUUCUGCACAGUCCGGCAUUAGCGGCGUGCAUGCAGUAAUUCAUCAAUGUUGGGGGUCAGUGCUA
Triticum dicoccoides is the source of this 688-nucleotide long non-coding RNA. RefSeq lists it as uncharacterized. The record is from RefSeq and is a predicted model, not a curated record. Lineage: Eukaryota; Viridiplantae; Streptophyta; Magnoliopsida; Poales; Poaceae. The transcript has 2 exons.